UACCCCAAAAUAUACAUUCCCUUUUGUAAUCUCAUCAAAAUCACACACUUCAAAUCUGAUUAUCCCACUUUCAACAUCCCAAUCUUCUUCAUCUUCUUCCUCAACAUCUCCAUCAUCAGUCUUCCAAACCCCACUUCAAACAGGUAGAUUUCUCACAAAUCAAGAACUUGAAAAGCUUGAAUCUUUAGGGAAAUAUAGGUAUUUUCAAGAAUUGGAAUCUGGAUCAUUGUGGGUUCGUGUGAUGAGGGAAGAAGAAAUGGAUGUUACUGUUUGGUUGUUGGCUGAGUCUUUUUCUGAUUCUAUGUUGAUGCCUAAAGGGUAUGUGAAAUUCAUGGCAUAUUUAGUGAAGCAGUAUAUGAUUGAGAGAAGAGCACUAAUGCCUUAUACUGCUACACUUCUUGGAUUCUAUAGAGAAAAUGGAGAAGAUGCAGAUUUGCAAUUGGCUGGAACUGUGGAAGUGUGUUUUGACAAAAGGGGUGCUAAUGCUAAUUCUCCCACACCUACACCUCCCAAGAACUCUCCAUACAUUUGCAAUAUGACAGUAG
RNAcentral lists this unclassified non-coding RNA (545 nucleotides) under Hevea brasiliensis (rubber tree). The record is from RNAcentral. Lineage: Eukaryota; Viridiplantae; Streptophyta; Magnoliopsida; Malpighiales; Euphorbiaceae.